RNAcentral lists this long non-coding RNA (444 nucleotides) under Mus musculus (house mouse). RNAcentral describes it as "long non-coding RNA chr11:5634138-5634582". Lineage: Eukaryota; Metazoa; Chordata; Mammalia; Rodentia; Muridae. The record is from RNAcentral.
AUGGCCGAGAGUGACUGGGACACCGUGACGGUGCUGUGCAAGAAGGGCCCCACGGCCGCACAGGCCAAGUCUAAGCAGGCCAUCUUAGCAGCUCAGCGACGAGAAGAUGUGGAGACAUCCAAGAAAUGGGCUGCUGGUCAGAACAAGCAGCAUUCCAUCACUAAAAACACAGCCAAGCUAGACUGGGAGACCGAGGAGCUGCAUCACGACAGGGUGGCCCUGGAGGUGGGCAAAGUGAUCCAGCGGGGCCGGCAGAGCAAAGGCCUGACCCAGAAGGACCUGGCCACGAAAAUCAAUGAGAAGCCGCAAGUCAUCGCAGACUAUGAAAGUGGACGGGCCAUUCCGAAUAACCAGGUUUUGGGCAAAACUGAGAGAGCUAUCGGCCUCAAGCUCCGGGGCAAGGACGUCGGGAAGCCUAUCGAGAAGGGGCCGAAGGCGGAAUGA